ACAUACACUUACAGAUCCAUCUUUUCCUCUUUCAUUUUCUCGCCAAAUUCAUCUCUAAGAGUUGAAAAAGAAGAAAGAAAAAUGGUGAAGAUUUGCUGCAUAGGAGCUGGAUAUGUUGGUGGCCCUACCAUGGCUGUCAUUGCACUCAAAUGCCCCACGAUUGAAGUGGUCGUUGUUGAUAUCUCUGUACCUCGCAUCACUGCCUGGAACAGUGACACGCUUCCCAUCUAUGAGCCAGGCCUUGACGAUGUGGUCAAGCAAUGCCGAGGCAAGAAUCUCUUCUUCAGCACAGAAGUGGAGAAACAUGUACAUGAGGCUGAUAUAGUUUUUGUUUCUGUCAACACUCCUACCAAGACUAGGGGUCUUGGAGCAGGCAAGGCUGCAGAUCUUACCUACUGGGAGAGUGCAGCCCGUAUGAUUGCCGAUGUCUCGAAAUCUGACAAAAUAGUUGUUGAGAAAUCAACUGUUCCAGUAAAAACUGCUGAGGCAAUUGAAAAGAUUUUGACCCACAACAGCAAGGGAAUCACCUUCCAGAUCCUCUCAAACCCUGAAUUUCUUGCAGAGGGUACUGCAAUCGAAGACCUCUUUAAACCUGACAGGGUUCUAAUUGGAGGCCGGGAAACUCCAGGAGGCCAGAAGGCUAUCCAAGCAUUGAAGGAUGUUUAUGCUCAUUGGGUUCCUGAAGGCAAUAUCAUUACCACCAACUUGUGGUCCGCUGAGCUCUCAAAGUUGGCGGCCAAUGCAUUCUUGGCACAAAGAAUCUCUUCUGUGAAUGCCAUGUCAGCUCUCUGUGAGGCUACAGGAGCAAAUGUUACACAGGUGGCAUAUGCUGUUGGUAAGGACUCGAGGAUUGGUCCCAAGUUCCUCAACGCUAGUGUUGGUUUUGGUGGAUCUUGCUUCCAGAAGGAUAUUCUGAACCUGGUUUACAUUUGCGAGUGCAAUGGUCUGCCUGAGGUUGCUGAAUACUGGAAACAAGUUAUCAAGAUUAAUGACUAUCAGAAAAGUCGUUUUGUCAAUCGCGUUGUUGCCUCUAUGUUCAACACAGUCUCAAACAAGAAAGUUGCAAUUCUAGGUUUUGCUUUCAAGAAGGAUACUGGCGAUACUCGAGAGACCCCUGCUAUUGAUGUAUGCAAGGGACUAAUGGGGGAUAAUGCUAAAUUGAGCAUAUACGAUCCUCAGGUGCAAGAGGACCAAAUCCAGAGGGACCUCUCGAUGAAGAAGUUUGACUGGGAUCAUCCCCUUCACCUCCAGCCAAUGAGUCCCACAUCCGUGAAACAACAAGUCAGUGUUUCUAUGGAUGCCUACGGUGCAACAAAGGAUGCCCAUGCUGUUUGUAUUCUCACAGAGUGGGAUGAGUUCAAGACCCUUGAUUUCCAGAAGAUAUAUGAUAACAUGCAAAAACCCGCUUUCGUUUUUGAUGGCAGGAAUGUUGUGAACGCUGACAAGCUAAGAGAGAUUGGCUUUAUCGUCUACUCAAUUGGUAAGCCUCUCGAUGCCUGGCUUAAGGACAUGCCUGCUGUCGCUUAAGAGCCUUACUUUGCUCGAGUGGCUUGUUUUGGUCUUAAAGAUAUUAGUUAUCAGGCAAUCAUCAGCUGGGAUUCUUUACUAUUUUUUUACCACUUCAAUUUCUGUUUCCAUUUUAUCCAUUGUAGUCAUAAGACCACCAUCGUCACUAUCUGAGUCGCAUGUAAGAUGUUUUCUGUUUCUUUUGUAUUGAUGAU
RNA transcript from Solanum verrucosum, 1721 nucleotides. It is a transcript of the gene named UDP-glucose 6-dehydrogenase 2-like, with no coding region annotated. The transcript is spliced from 2 exons. Lineage: Eukaryota; Viridiplantae; Streptophyta; Magnoliopsida; Solanales; Solanaceae. The record is from RefSeq and is a predicted model, not a curated record.